GUCUGCAUUAGAAAGUGAUCAUCAGCUGCCUGAGUCUUGGUCAUCAAUAGCACAGGGAGGGGAACUGCACAGAGCACUUCUGUGUUUGGAGGGUCCAUCUCCAUCCUUGGAAACCCUGGUGCUUUUUUCACA
Molecule: small nucleolar RNA, 132 nt
Organism: Aotus nancymaae (Ma's night monkey)
Lineage: Eukaryota; Metazoa; Chordata; Mammalia; Primates; Aotidae
Gene: SNORA71
Rfam family: Small nucleolar RNA SNORA71
About the family: The members of this family belong to the H/ACA class of snoRNAs which bind a number of proteins (including dyskerin, Gar1p and Nop10p) to form snoRNP complexes. This class of snoRNAs are thought to guide the sites of modification of uridines to pseudouridines by forming direct base pairing interactions with substrate RNAs.
Source: Ensembl